AUGGCGGAUUCAAAGAAAGAUCAUUUGUGUGCACUACUGAACAAGAAAAAUUCAGAAAACAAGCGAGAACCUAUACAUAUGAAUCUUGCCGGUAAAAAAUGGGAGGAAAAUAGUUCAAGAUCCACAGAAAAGCAGCGGCACCAGAAACUUCCGGAUAUCAGAGGAAAAAAUUGUCUUCCAGAAAGCACUUAUGAGAAAUCCACAGAGAAUAAUUUCCUAGAAUAUUUAGUAGAACAACAGAAAACUCAAGAUCUAUCCCCUGAACAACAAGAUUCCAAAACAAUUCCUAUGGAACCCAUUAUUCUAAGAAGCCAUGAAGAUCCUUCUUCCCACUCUCAAUUUGAGGUAGCCAAAUCCUUUGAUAUUCCCAACAAUUUUCCUAAUACUAAUGACCAGAUGUCUAAUUCCUUGACAAAAAUCCAAGCGUCAUCUUACGAUAAAUUGACGCUCCAAAAAGAAGUUUCUACCUUUUAUAACAAAAUCGACUCUUCGGUAAACAGAGACCUCGAGAGUUAUAUUACCAGAGUCAUCAAUACCUCUUUCUACAACAUAAUCGAUGAUCCUAAAGGUAUUACCAGAUCAAAAUUUAGAUUGUUCCAUAAUGUUCUCUUCUCCAAGAUCUAUAUCCAACCUAAUCCAAAUAAAACACUUUGUUACCAUUCUCGAACCAAAAACUCCUUUGAAAGAAAAUCUCAGAAUCAAAUCUCGGCUGAAGCCUUCUGCACAAAUAAUGAAAUCCUA
This 741-nucleotide long non-coding RNA is filed under the name Oryza sativa Indica Group (long-grained rice). RNAcentral describes it as "lncRNA OsZS97_11G011420". Lineage: Eukaryota; Viridiplantae; Streptophyta; Magnoliopsida; Poales; Poaceae. The record is from RNAcentral.